This 836-nucleotide ribosomal RNA is filed under the name Actinoplanes sp. IM-2805. RNAcentral describes it as "bacterial SSU rRNA". It matches the Rfam family "Bacterial small subunit ribosomal RNA", at positions 38 to 889 of the family's 1533-position model. Lineage: Bacteria; Bacillati; Actinomycetota; Actinomycetes; Micromonosporales; Micromonosporaceae. The record is from RNAcentral.
GGCGGCGUGCUUAACACAUGCAAGUCGAGCGGAAAGGCCCUUCGGGGUACUCGAGCGGCGAACGGGUGAGUAACACGUGAGUAACCUGCCCCAGACUUUGGGAUAACCCUCGGAAACGGGGGCUAAUACCGGAUAUGACUUACCGGCGCAUGGUCUGGUGGUGGAAAGUUUUUCGGUUUGGGAUGGACUCGCGGCCUAUCAGCUUGUUGGUGGGGUAAUGGCCUACCAAGGCGACGACGGGUAGCCGGCCUGAGAGGGCGACCGGCCACACUGGGACUGAGACACGGCCCAGACUCCUACGGGAGGCAGCAGUGGGGAAUAUUGCACAAUGGGCGGAAGCCUGAUGCAGCGACGCCGCGUGAGGGAUGACGGCCUUCGGGUUGUAAACCUCUUUCAGCAGGGACGAAGCGAAAGUGACGGUACCUGCAGAAGAAGCGCCGGCCAACUACGUGCCAGCAGCCGCGGUAAGACGUAGGGCGCGAGCGUUGUCCGGAUUUAUUGGGCGUAAAGAGCUCGUAGGCGGCUUGUCGCGUCGACUGUGAAAUCUCAGGGCUCAACUCUGACAUUGCAGUCGAUACGGGCAGGCUAGAGUUCGGUAGGGGAGACUGGAAUUCCUGGUGUAGCGGUGAAAUGCGCAGAUAUCAGGAGGAACACCGAUGGCGAAGGACGGUCUCUGGGCCGAUACUGACGCUGAGGAGCGAAAGCGUGGGGAGCGAACAGGAUUAGAUACCCUGGUAGUCCACGCUGUAAACGUUGGGCGCUAGGUGUGGGGGGCCUCUCCGGUUUCCUGCGCCGCAGCUAACGCAUUAAGCGCCCCGCCUGGGGAGUACGGCCGC